UACUUUUGAAUUAUAAAUUACUUUUGAGUUGUGUCACACCACUCUCAUCCAAUCAUUCGCGGCUACAAACAACAUUUUUUUUUCUACUCAAGUCCAAAAAGCUUAUGCUCUUUGAUGUAAUAAAUUUUGAUCAUUAUCAAUUAUGCGAAUCUAACAAUCUAGCAUCUAAGUUUUUUUAAUAUAAAAAAUUAUUUUUUUAAGCAUUAUUUAAAAAAAGAAAAGAAAUUAGAUGCAGUGCCUAGUUGACUUAACUCGUAUAGUGAGAAUAAAAGGCUAUGGAUUCAAGUACAAAAGGGUAGGUUGAUUGAGGUGGGAAAAUGUGCAAUUAUUUGUAAUUCAAAAAAUGUAACAACUUAGGGCCUGUUUGGUACUGUUUUCAAACCUCUAUUUUCAUUCUUGUUUUAUAAAUACAAUUGAAAAACAUGUUUGGUGGGCUAAAUUCAGAAAUAGAUUAUAAAACAAAAAAUUCGGAUUCAGUUUUCCAGUUGUAAAGUUGAAAACGUGUUUAAUAUAUUUUCAAAUGAAUUUACAGUUCACACUAAAGAACAAACUACAGAACAAAUCUCAAACAUCUCUGGCUCGUAUUCUCUUCAUCAACAGCUCCCAAAGUCCCCGAUCUAAACUCUUUGCUCUCAUUAUCACUCUCUUCUUCCUCUUUCUCUAGAUCUACAACACAUAUCUCUCUCUCUAACUCGAUCUGCCAGUCCAUUGCUGCUGCUGCUUGAUCUCGGCUGUUGCAGCUGCUGUCUUUACUUGGUCUUUGCUCCAGCUACUUCCAGUCUGUUGCUGCUGUUGCUGCUCUUCCAGUCCGUUGCUGCUGCUGCUCGAUCUCGGUUGUUGCACCUACUGUCUUCACUUGGUAUUUGCUCCAGCUACUUCCAAUCUGUUGCUGCUGCUGCUGCUCUUCCAGUCCGUUGCUGCUGCUGCUAGAUCUCGGCUGUUGCAGCUGCUGUCUUCACUUGGUAUUUGCUCCAGCUACUUCCAGUCCAUUGAUAUUGCUGCUGCUCUUCCAGUCCGUUGCUGCUGCUGCUGCUAGAUCUCGGCUGUUGCAGCUACUUUCUUCACUUGCUCUUUGCUCCAGCUACGUGUGCUUGCUGCAAUCUGCUCUUCCACUCGCUUGCUGCAACCACUUACUCGGUGCCAUCUUUGCUCCAUCUCUUACUGGUAUAUUUCUUUCUUUUUUCUAUUUGGCUGAAUUUUGAGUGUAAUUCUUUUUGUUUAGCUUGGACCCAUAUCAUGUUCAAUUCGGAAAAUUGGAUUCAAUUGGGCAAAUUGGAUGUUGCUAUGUUCAAUUAGUUUUUUAGGCAAAUUAAUUGGGUGUAGUUUUUUAUUAUCUUGUGUAUUGGUGUUUGCUCUGGUUUUAAGUGGCAUGUGGAAACUGUUAUUUUCUUUGGAUGUACCCAUCUUUGAUCAUGGACAAUAUAUCCAGUAAUUGAAGCCUAGCACUUAUUAUCCAUGGAGCAAGUUACUCCGACUAGCUUACUGAGCCUCAUCUUUAUUUCAUAUUUGAAAUUGAAAUUCAUUUGGCAAUUGCCUAAUGUUGUGGGAGAAAAUUAACUACAGCUUCAUGGAAAAAUCAGAAAUUCUUUUAAGAUGUUAUUGAAUUAUUUUGAGUUGUUGGAAUUUUUGCUUUAUAGAACUUGAUAGGUAUAGAUAUUCAGAGACUUGUUUGUGAAAUACAAGAUUUUGUAUUGGAAGGUUGCACCCAACAUAUACAAUUGAACUUGGUGUAACUUUCUGGUGAAUUUUGGCAGCUUCCGGUCGUUCUGAGUUUGAAUUUCCUCUUGAAUAUAUCGAUCUGCAUUUUAUUGACAUUUGUUGCAAGCAAUUACUUUGAUUUUUUUUAUUCAUUUUAUGAAGUUGUGAUUAUUAGAAUUUGGGAUAGGGCUUGUAAUAAGGUUUGGACUGUCAAAUUUGGACUGUCAAAUUUUGAAUAACAUUGCACAUUUGAAAGCUGUCUUUUUCUACGCAAACAUGCCGACAUGCACAUACACACCAUGAUCUUUCGAGUAACAUUCAUUUUGUAAUCUAUGACAUGUUGCUGAAAUUACUUUCAUGUUAUGUUGAAUUUGAUUAAUAUUUUAUAUGUGUUAUUUUUUUUUUCAAGAUAUGGAUCCAUAUGAUGUUGAUGUUGAGGAUAAGGCCGAUUGGUCUAGCCGGACUGAAAAUGCUUUUAUUCGUAUAGUGCAUGACCAUGUUAAAAAGGGUGAUUUACAAACAUCAACCUUUACUAAGAAAAUUUGGACCACUAUAAGUGAUGAGUUAUUUGAACAAUCCCACAAAAGAUUCAAUGUAGGGCAACUUAAGUCCAAGUUUAAUAGGUUGUACAAAAAACAUCGAGAGUUUUCUGACUUAGUAGCUCAUACUGGGUUUGGUUGGGAUCUUAUUUCAAAUACGGUCACAGCAUCGGAAGCUGUUUGGGCUGAAUAUAUUAAGGUAAAACUAUAUUCACAGUAUAUUAAAUAGUUUCGUAUAAAAUUAAAGUAUUAUUAUUUGGUUUUAUACACUUAUUUUUUUUCCACAAAGAGUGCCUGGAGUGAAGCCAUAUCGUAAAAAAUGAUUAGAGCACUACCAAACCUUAGGGGAGAUAUUCAACACCACCACAACUUCUGGCCAUUUGUGUUUUUCAUCUAACCAAGUUCCAUUGUCCUCAGAUGAGGAUCAUGAAUUGGAAGAGAAUUUCCUUGGUGUUGUGCAAAUUUUAAUGUACUCGCAAGCGCACGAAUCUGUUGUAGUAUAGAUUAAUGGUGACGAGUGUCGAUCCCACGAGGAGGUGGAUUUUAAUUGUGUAGAAUUAAUUUUGUGAAUGGGUGAUUGGAUUUGUGGUGGAAAUGAUUGGAAUAUGCUAAAACUUAAAUUAAAAUGGAGAGAAUAAAUUCUAAAAUUGGUAUUGAAAUGGUGAGAAUAAAUUGAAGAGAAUUCUAUUGAAAUGACGUACUUGGGUAUCUGGAUCCGUAUCAACAUGCAUCAUGGGCUAAAUAAUCCGUAUUAAUGCCAAUUAAAUCAUGAGGGGGGAAUCCACACCUCAUGAACCACGCUCUAAUCAAUAUGGUGCUAAGGGCUUAUCGUGCCAAAUAAUAAUAACCUUGUACUAGAGGGCCGGUGUAACCAAGGCGGUACUAGACAAGAUUAGUAUUAUUUGUCGACGAGAAGUCAAAACAUCCACAAAAACUAGAGGGGAAGAGAAAAUAAAUUUACCAAAUUAAGCCCAUGACGCAUGUUGAGACUUCACCUUCAACCCAAGCUUGAAAGAAAAUUAGCCACUCAUAAUUGAACUAGGGGCAAAAUGGAAAUUUAUUAAAAUACGAAGAAAAUACAAGAUGGAGAGGGAAUUACAGAAAAUGGAUCCCAAAAAUGGAUUCAGAGAUAUCAAAUUAGGGGGGAGAGGCCCCCUUUUUAUAGAUACAUGGAGUAAAUCAUGGCCAUCGGAUUAAAAACAGUUUGGACGCUCAGGAUUGCGCCACGUCAUCAGUCAACAGUCCACGGUUUGACCACGCGGAUGAACAGUAACACGGUUUGACCCGACUUUGAACAGUAACGCGGUUUGACCCGACUUUGAACAGUAACGCGGUUUGACCCGGAUGAACAGUAACGCGGUUUAGUUGAAAAUAAUCCUGUGUGAUGCAUGCACCGUACGCGAGAUUUUUCGUCCACUGAUAUGCUGCCACGUCACCAUCAACAGUACAUAAGAAUUUUAGUCCAACAGGAUCGUGACACCUCAUCAGUCAAUGCCACAUCAUCGGUCAAUGCCACGUCAUCAUCCGUCUAUGUGAACAGUGUCGUGAACAGUAACGUAUACAGUACCGUACACGUGAAUAGUACCGUACAUGUGAAUAGUGCCAUUUUUCCUUUUAUACUCCUCCUAAGGUUUUUGAUCGUCCUGAGUUCAAAAGUGAUGUCCGUUUUGCCGUCUGAUUUCUCCUUUAUUGUGAAAUGACUAUAAUGCCCCUAAAAUACAUAAAAUACUUAAUUAAAAUAAAACACAUGUAAUUAAAUCACAAGAAGGUUAAAUACAUAAAAGUAAGGGUUGUUAAUAAGACUUGAAAUGUAAAAUGACGGUUUUCUCCUUUAUAAAUAUGCAUUUUCUAACACUCAACACACCCCCCAACCAGCUUAUUGCUAGUCCCUAGCAAAUGAAGCGAAAAUAAAAUUCAAAUUCAAAAUGAUUUUUUUUUUAAAUUCAGAAACACUCAUGUUUAUUCAAUCAGAUUAAUGAUAGCAAUCAAAUAAAAGUAUAAGCAUUAUCUUCAGUCUAAAGUAACAUCACACCCACAUCAACCAUCCACAUGAAUCAACCCAGUAGACUUUGUUAUAGCUACUUUCAAGAAUGACAUGUCAAACCCCAAAAUCUCACUGGAAGUAGUGACACUCUCACAAAGAAAUUAAACCCAAUAAAAAUAGUCACUCCAAUGAAUGAUAAUUGAGAGAAAAUAAUGAAGAAGUGAUAUCACAUGCUCUCACCAAGAUAAAAUAAAUAUGCCCUCAGCUUAGAAAUAAUACGAUCUCAAGUCAAAUAAAAUGUUAGUCAACCCACUUUAUUUAUCUUUUUUUUUUUUUUUAAUUAUGCAUGACUACAUCUUUUUAGCCCAUAUAACUAGCUUCUACUUCAAACUAUAGUUCCCUAAAAUCAAGAAGGACUUUUAUUAGGACGUAACGUAGGCUAGGGACAUGGUUAACAAAGAAGGGAAAUAAGGAAAACAAAGUGUAUGUUUGAGAAAAAUGCAAAGAAUUUUUUUUUUUUUUUUUGAACUUGCAAGGUGGAUUUCACCUAUUAUUGUUAUUUUUAUUCUUUUGAAACAACAACUUUUGUUUUAUUUAUUUUUUUUCUCUUUUUUUUUUUUUUUGCUUUUAUUUGGCACAACUUCACUGAACAAAAUAAUUAUUUACAUUUUUCUCAAACAUAAAUAGGUGAUGGACCUUAUAAGACAUCGGGUAAUACUCCAAAUCGGAGUGGGUCAAGAUGAUAAGUUGACAAAGAAAAGGUUUUUUUUUUUUUUUUUUUUUUUUUUUAAAGGCUCAAAAGGGUUAACUAUGGAUAUAUCACAAAAGGGAUGGCUAGAAAGGCUCAAACGGAUCAAAGAUGGCCUUUCCAUCGUCUUUUAGGGCUCUAAAUAAUCAUCCAUAUCUACUAGUUAAAUGAGCCUCCCAAUGUAGCAACACACAUUUUUUUUUUAUUUUUUAUUAAGGGUUAACUCAAAAGAAAUCUAGAGAUCGUGUAUACAAUAAUAAACUGUUAAGCUGUAUAAAGAAUGGGCAAAAGGGUUACUCUCCAAGAAAAAUGAUAGGCUCAAAAACUCACUUGGUACUUAUUAUGACAUGUUCAUUCCUUCAAGCAACUCAUAUAUGUCUCCGACAUCAACAUGUAGAGUAGCAAACAUAAUGUAACAUCACUUAAGACCAAAGAUAAUACAAAUACUAAAAUUUAAAAUUAAUCAUGUCACCCAAUGUUAAAACAAAUCACACAAUUUUUUUUUUUUUUAAACAACAUUCUACCCCCCAACCUAUUCUAAACAUGAAAGGGAAAUAUGCAUGCAGAAAUGUGAAAAUGAUGCAUAAAAACUAAUUAGAAAAGUUACACGUAAAAUGAUAGAAAACGAAAAUAAUUUUUUAUUUUUUUUAAAGAAGAUGCGUUUCUAGAGGAACUACACUCCAUAUUCAGCCAUCUUCGACUCAAAAGUUGGAAAAUGUAUAUUGAUAGAGGAGAAAUUAAAAAGAAGAAAAAUAAACAUAAACACAUAAUAAAGAAAAAGAAAAUGUCUGAAAUUUUUUUUUUAGUUUUUUAAUUUUUUUUUUUUUUUUUUACGAUGAAGAUGCGUUUCUAGAGUCACUACACUCCAUAUUCAGCCAUCUUCGACACAAAAAGUUAGCAACAGUUAGUUUCUACAACAAAAAUUAGUAAAAACUUAACCAAAAUUCCACAAUUGUCGACUAUUCCCUCCCCCCAACCAGAACGAAACAUUGUCCUCAAUGUUUGAAAGGAAAGAAGUAGAGUUUAGAAGACAUCACCUGGGUGGUGCAACACAGAAAACAAUAUUUACAAGCGGAGAGUUAAAUCUAAUUUGUACUUCUUACUGCGGCUACUGUUACCAUCAUUAUUUGGGCGCUCCAACACAAAGGUCCAGGGGUCUGGCUCCGGUUUAUAAGCUUGUAACAGAUCAAGUAGCUCAUUAGCAGUGUGAGCACAAAUAAAGAGUUUUUUCACAUUAGCGGGAAUGAAAUAGUUUUUUAUUGCAUGGUUAAGAAAUGCGAUAAAGCCAUCAUAAAAGUUAUUGACAUUUAACAAACCGAUGGGUUUUUGGUGGAUGUGCAGAUGGGCCCAAGAUGCUAGCGUGAUAAGUGCCUCUAGUGUUGCAAGAUCUCCUGGAAGGAAAAUAAAAGCAUCAGCAUGAUUAAGCAUUUCAAUUAUUCUUUCUUGCAUACCUGAGACGACUAACUCUUCUCCAGUUGAUGAGUCAGACGAACUGCCCAAUGGUUUUAAGACUCUUGGGAUGAUGCCUAACACUUGACUUCCUCUGAUAAAAGCUGCUUCUGAGACCAUUUUUGAUAACCCUCGAUUACCUCCUCCAUACACCAAGUGUAAUUUUCUCGCUGCUAUGCUUUGACCAAGAUCUAUGGCUGCCUCAACGAACUCUUUAUGUUUGCCAUAUGUAAAUCCAGAAAGCACACAAAUGUUCUUGAAUUGUCUAUUGGGAGUAGCUGCCAUUGUGAUACUUCGCAAAAAUAAUUUGUGAGUGCUUGACAAAGAAAAUCACAUUUAAGAGUCUUGGUGAUAGUGGGUCAUAGUUGUGUAGGAGGUCACAUGUCCAUGUCAAAUAACGCGUAAAGCACGUGGCUCGCGAGUCAAAAAGGAAACAGUAAAAAGGGAAAAGCAAACAGUAAUAAGGAAAAAGCAAACAGUAAUAAAAUUAUUAAAGACAAUAAUGCAAACAAUAAGACAAUAGUGAAAUAAAAUAACAAUAAAGUAAAAGGAUAUUUACAGGUAGUUGCGACUGUGGCUCACAUCUUCCUCUGGUUUUACGUCCAGAAACGGCUUGAACGCCCUCUAUGGGUCGAGGAUAGGCUUCCUAUCCAGUUUUCUUAUAAACUGGCAAACAGGGUCGUUUAUAGUCAGAUUCCCGAGACUAUAUCGUGCAUGCUCUUUCUGGAACAAUGGCCAUAACUGGAGAAUCGCUCCUUGCACAUAUCCACUGGGAUGCGUUUCAAGAGACAAAAGGAUAUCAUCCAAUGACUCCUUAUUCAAGCCAUCCCUAAUGAAUUGAAUCUUAUCUUCCCUGUUAUCAGACAUCAUUCCUAAAGAACAUGGGUUUUUAUUGCAACUCAUUCUGGCACACUUAUGACAAGCAACCGAAAUUCUUCGAGCUCGUCGUUUUCUUGCAUAAUUUCCUUUACCACAACCAGGCAUGUAUGCAAUAAAUUUUGGAGGUAACUCACCUGCCGAUCGUACUUUUGCCUCAAUUAACCAACGGAUAUCAGCAGGUAUGUUAUUCCUCAUGAGCAAUCGCAUGCGUUCGGACCGAGCUUUAUAGAUUGUAAGGAGGGCAUUCUGAGGAAGUGAAGGGAAUCGCUUGUGAAGCUUCGCUAGAGUCUCGUUUCUGUCCAUACUUUCGCCUCAGAAUAUCAGUUAUUAUGGGAAACUGAAGUAACCGACUUGAUUGUCACGGAGUACCGUUAUCCGCCACUUCACCGGGGUAACAAACUAAAGCACACAAACAGAAAACAAAUUAAAACACACAAAGAAAAUUAAAAUCGUCCUCUUAUUGAAUUUACCUCAAGCUCCAACUGGAUGUCGUAAACACUUCUCUCAAUGUCUCUGAGUUGGCUUUCUAAACCCUCAACAUAGGCUACUAACUCUGGUGGUUGUAGAGCUCAAAUGCGUUGUGUUUUACAAAAUUGAAUCUGCCUUUUGAGAUGAGUUUUGACACGUUGAAGUGGUUUAAGAAUGUUCAGGAGGAACGGUCUAAGUAUGAGACUCAUGAUUAAAAAUGAUAAGAGAAAACUUAAUGGUAAAAUAAACACACUUAUGCAAAAACAAUUUCAAUUAGCAAAAGAAUAAUAUAAAGAAAGAAAACAAAAUCAAAUCAACGAAAAGAAAGAAAAAAAAAAUCAAUUCAAAUCUGGUGGGUCACUCAAAUUUAUUUCGGUGUCUUCUUCAUGUGGUUGGUACUCUAGAUAUGGCUUUAAUCUUUGACCAUUAACUUUAAACGUGACACCGUUCUUUGGGUCCUUAAUUUCAAUUGCCCCAUGUGGAAAAACAGUAUGAACAAUAAAGGGACCAGACCAACGAGAGCGUAACUUACCUGGGAAUAGGUGCAAGCGAGAAUUGAAUAAAAGCACUUUCUGACCUGGAGUGAACGAUUUUCUCAUAACGUGCUUGUCAUGGAAGACUUUCAUUCGUUGCUUGUAAAUCUUGGCAUUUUCGUAUGCAUCAUUGCGAAUUUCUUCAAGUUCUGCCAGUUGUAAUCUUCUUUCUGAGUUGGCUUGCUGCAUGUCAAAAUUGAAUUUCUUGAUGGCCCAAUACGCACGAUGCUCGAGUUCCACAGGUAGGUGGCAAGCUUUUCCAUACACUAGCCUGUAGGGUGACAUCCCAAUCGGGGUCUUGAAAGCCGUUCUAUAUGCCCAUAAUGCAUCAUCAAGUCUUAAUGACCAAUCUUUUUUGUCCGGCCUCACCGUCUUUUCUAAUAUGUGCUUUAUUUCUCGAUUGGAUAUCUCAACUUGGCCACUGGUUUGCGGAUGAUACGGGGUCGCCACUUUGUGUGUGAUUGAAUACUUUGUCAAAAGUGCUUUGAAUGCUUUGUUACAAAAGUGGGCACCACCAUCACUGAUUAUUGCUCGAGGGAAUCCAAAGCGCGAGACAAUGUUGCUUUUCAAAAAUCCUAUCACCACCUUGUGAUCAUUGGUCCUACAUGAAAUUGCUUCUACCCAUUUUGAUACGUAGUCAACAGCAACCAAUAUGUAUUGAUGGCCAAAAGACGGGGGAAAGGGUCCCAUGAAGUCGAUACCCCAUACGUCAAAAAUCUCAACCACUAAAAUUGGAUUUAGUGGCAUCAUGUUCCUCCGUGUAAUGCUCCCCAUUCGUUGACACCUAUCACAUAAAGAACAGAAAGUGUAAGCGUCUCGAAAUAUAGAUGGCCAAUAGAAACCACAUUGUAAAACUUUAGUCGCUGUUUUCUUAGCACUGAAAUGGCCUCCACAAGCUUGUUCAUGGCAGAAUGAAAGGAUAUUCUGAAUUUCACUUUCUGGGACACAUCGUCUAACAAUUUGGUCUGCACAAUACUUGAAUAAAUAUGGGUCAUCCCAAAAAAAAUUCUUUAUUUCUGCAAAGAAUUUAGCCUUGUCUUGCUUGGUCCAAUGCUCUGGAAGUUUACCUGUAACAAGAUAAUUAACUAUAUCAGCAUACCAAGGUAAUACUUCCACAUUCAUUAAUUGUUCAUCUGGAAAUGACUCAUUCAAUAUUAAUGGCUCUGUAAUUGAGUCAAAAUGGAGACGAGAGAGGUGGUCCGCCACAACAUUUUCUGUCCCUUUCUUAUCUUUGAAUUCCAAGUCAAAUUCCUGCAAAAGUAACACCCAACGAAUUAGCCUAGCUUUUGCAUCUUUCUUUGUGAGAAGAUAUUUAAGAGCAGCAUGAUCUGUGAACACGAUUAUUUUACAACCAAUGAGAUAAGAUCGAAAUUUCUCUAAUGCAAACACUACUGCUAGCAUUUCUUUUUCAGUAGUUGAAUAGUUCAACUGUGCAUCAUUCAAUGUCAUACUAGCAUAGUAAAUAACGUGGGAAAUUCGAUCAACUCUUUGUCCUAAUACUGCUCCUACUGCAUAAUCAGAUGCAUCACACAUGAGUUCAAAUGGUAAGCUCCAGUUUGGGGCCUGAAUGAUGGGUGAUGAUGUCAACAACUGCUUUAAUUUUUCAAACGCCAUAAGACAUGAAUUAUUAAAGAUAAAAGGUACAUCCUUAGCAAGUAAAUUGCAUAAGGGUCUAGAAACUUUGCUAAAAUCUUUAAUGAAACGUCUAUAAAAACCAGCAUGCCCAAGGAAAGAUCUUACUUCUCUGACUGUCUUGGGUGGAGGAAGAUUAGAAAUGAGAUCCACCUUGGCUUUGUCAACCUCAAUACCUUUGCUCGAAAUGAUGUGACCGAGAACAAUACCUUGUUUUACCAUAAAAUGGCAUUUCUCCCAAUUUAAGACCAAGUUCUUCUCGAUACAUCUCUGCAGAACUAGUGUUAGAUGAUGUAAACAUUGAUCAAACGAAUCACCAAAGACAGAAAAGUCAUCCAUAAAGACUUCAAGGAAUCGUUCAACCAUAUCAGAAAAAAUGCUCAACAUGCAUCGUUGAAAUGUAGCAGGUGCAUUGCAUAAUCCAAAUGGCAUUCUCCUAUAUGCAAAUGUGCCAAAAGGGCAAGUGAAAGUAGUUUUCUCCUGAUCUUUUGGUGCUAUGGGGAUCUGAUUGUAUCCUGAGUAGCCAUCUAGAAAGCAAUAAAAUUCAUGACCUGCUAAUCUAUCAAGCAUUUGAUCAAUAAAUGGUAAAGGGAAAUGGUCUUUACGUGUGACAGAAUUCAACUUCCUAUAAUCAAUGCAUACACGCCAUCCUGUAGUCACUCUAGUGGGUAUCAAUUCAUUAUCGGCAUUGGUAACUACAGUGACUCCUGACUUUUUGGGGACAACUUGCACAGGACUGACCCAUGAACUAUCAGAAAUGGGGUAAAUGAUACCUGCGUCUAAUAGUUUAAGGACUUCAGUUCUAACAACAUAUUUCAUAUUAGGAUUUAACCGACGUUGCAUCUCCCUAGUAGUUUUAGCAUUUUCAUCAAGGUGAAUGUAAUGCAUGCAGUCUACUGGGUUUAUACCUUUAAUGUCUGCUAUGGUCCAUCCUAAUGCUCCUUUGUGCUCUUUUAAAACAUCCAACAACUUACCUUUUUGUUCGUCAUUUAGGGAUGAUGAGAUGAUUACCGGCAGAGUACUUUCUUCUCCCAAAAAUGCAUAUUCCAAUGUGUUGGGCAAUGGUUUGAGCUCGAGUUCCGGUGGUGAUUCUGAUGAUGGGAUGAGUUUCUUCUCUGAUGGUGCUAGUUGUUCAACUCUUGACUUCCAUUUAUUAGUGUCCAUGGAUGGUGCUGAGUCAAGCAGGGCGUUGACCUCAUCGACCGAUCUGUCAAUAUCAAAAUCCAAACCAAAGUGAGUUAAACAUGUUUGUAAAGGAUCAUCACUAAGGUUUGAAACAAAAGUAUCAUCAACUAAUGCUUCAAUUAAAUCCACAUCAACAAUUCCAUCAUCUGCACUGUGAGGUUGUUUGGCAAUGUUGAAGAUGUUCAGCUCCAUAGUCAUGUUGCCGAAGGACAACUGCAUAUUUCCAGUCCUACAUUGAAUGUGAGCAUCCGCAGUUGCCAAGAAAGGUCGGCCUAGAAUAAUGGGGAUGUGCUUCCUUGAAUCCUGUAUUGGUUGAGUGUCAAUUACAAUGAAAUCAACAGGAAAAUAAAACUUGUCUACCUGGAUAAGCACGUCCUCCACAAUACCACGAGGUAUUUUCGUAGACCGAUCUGCAAGCUGUAACACCACUGGAGUUGGGUGUAAUUCUCCAAGUCCAAGUUUCACAAACACUGAAUAAGGUAACAGAUUUACACUAGCUCCUAAAUCCAACAAAGCAUUCUCAAUUGUGUGGUUCCCUAUACUACAUGAGAUAGUGGGGGAGCCUGGGUCUUUGCAUUUUAAAUGAAUUUUAUGUUGGAGUAUAGAACUAACGUUUUCUGUUAAAAAUGCCUUCUUUUGAACAUGCAUAUUUCUCUUUUUAGUACAAAGGUCUUUAAGAAACUUGGCAUAAGAUGGAACUUGUUUAAUAGCAUCAAGCAAAGGGAUGUUAACACUUACCUGUUUGAAGAUUUCAAGAAUCUCACCUGUGGAUUUUCCCUUUUUUCCUUUAGCUAACCUCUGAGGAAAUGGAGCUUUGGGAACAUAUUCCCGUGGGUUGGUUUCUUCUUUUUCCUCCGGUGGUGAGUCCUCAACAUUCACAGGUACAAUUUGAUUUUCUUUUGUCACCGGCAUCUCCACUUUGUUGUCGACUUCCUUUCCUUUUCGCAAGGUCAUUACUGCUUUGACCUCUCCAUGUUGCUGUGGUGAACUGGUACUUGCUUCAUGUACUCCUUUAGGAUUAGGCACUGGUUGACUUGGAAACUUGCCUUUCUCAACAGUCAUUGCUAAGGUCUGAACUGAAGAAGCAAGUUGUCCCACCAUCUUCUCGAGGCUUGAAACCGAUUGGGCUUGUGAGUUGAAGCCUGUUCUCAACUCAUUUCGUAGUCCAUCAAUAGUGCGGUUUUGUUGCUCAAUCGUGGAGUGAGUAACAUUCUUGAAAUUUUGGAAUGCAUCCUCCCAUGGUCUGGGUUGAGAGUAGUUCUGGUUCUGAUUGUAUGGUCUAAAUGGGGGCUGAGAGGCUUGAGGAACUUGAGGAAUUUGUUGCAUUGGUGGAGCUGGAGCUCCUGGUCCAUUCUGUUGAAAUCCUUGAGACCAUGAAAAAUUGGGGUGGUCUCUCCAUCCAGGGUUAUAUGUGUUGGAGUAUGGGUUGUAAUUUGAUGGCUUUCUCAUUACACCUAUGGCAUUGGCUUGAUCUGAGUAUGAGUCAUGAUCAUGUGGUUCUGUUGAUUUAGCAGUCGAUAAUGAUGCUAUUUGUCGAGCAAGACCUUCAACCAUCUCCUUGACUUCUUUGAUUCCCGAAGUUGACUCGCCAAUGUGAACCUCAUUUACUCCCUUAAUUCUUCUAGUAGUCCUGAGUGAUCGACUCCGUUGUUGGGAAUUAUCUGCUUGUCGCUGGAAGAAUUCCCAAAUUUCUGAUGCACUUUUUGACAUUAGCUCUCCUCCACUUGUUGCCAUUAGCCAUUCUUGCACAUUCGGCAAUAAUCCCUCCAAAAAGUAUUGGCAUUGGUGCCAUUUCUCGUACCCAUGAUGUGGACACUUCAAGAGUAGCCCAUUGAAUCGCUCCCAUGUUUCGAAAAAUUGCUCGUCCUCUCUCUGGGUAAACUCCGAGAUUUCCCUGCGAAUAGCAUUGGUUUUAUGUACUGGGAAAUAUUUAUUCAAAAAUUUUGUAACCAUUUGUUCCCAUGAUGCAAUGCUAUUAGCAGGCAAUGUAUUAAGCCAUGAACGAGCUCUAUCCUUUAAAGAAAAUGGGAAUAGUCUAAGUUUAACAUCAUCGUCUGAAAAAUUUUCAUAUUUAAAAGUUUGACAAAUGGCAUGAAAAUCAUUCAGAUGAUUAUAUGGAUCCUCAUUUUCUAGGCCAUAAAAUGUGGGGAGACAAUUUAGCACACUAGGUUUUAAUUCGAAACUCCUAGCAGCUACAUUUGGGUAUCUUAUGCAUGAUGUGCUCAAAUUAGCUAAGGGACUGAAGUAGUCCUUAAAUGGUCUCUCUUGUGGUUGCAAAUCCAUUUCAAAUUUAUUUUUAAUGUGCUUUUGUGUGCGAAGUGUUUUUUCUAAUUCAAGGUCUAUAGGGUCAAGAUUAGGUAAUAAUGACCUACGACCAUGCAUGCAAAACAAAUAAAAUGAAAAUAAAGAUGGGAACAAGACAAAUAAAAAUAAAUAAGAGGGAGAAAUUACGAUACUAACCUUAUUGCGCUAUUAAAACCUUUCUAUAAAAAUACACAAAAACAAAUACGUGAAAUAAAUUAACUAAAAAUAAAUUAAUAAGAUAAAAAAAUUACAAAGAAAAAUAAAUUGAAAAAUAAAUUACAGAAUUUUAAAGAAAAGAAAAAGAAAAGAAAUACUAACCUUUAAAUGUAAAUUCACUUUUUUUUCUUUUUUUUCUUUUUUUAAUAAAAAAAAUACAAGAAAACAAAUAAAAGAAAUUAUUCAAAAAAAUUAAUUCUAUGAAUUGAAAUUACUUACCUCCCCGGCAACGGCGCCAAAAACUUGUUGUGCAAAUUUUAAUGUACUCGCAAGCGCACGAAUCUGUUGUAGUAUAGAUUAAUGGUGACGAGUGUCGAUCCCACGAGGAGGUGGAUUUUAAUUGUGUAGAAUUAAUUUUGUGAAUGGGUGAUUGGAUUUGUGGUGGAAAUGAUUGGAAUAUGCUAAAACUUAAAUUAAAAUGGAGAGAAUAAAUUCUAAAAUUGGUAUUGAAAUGGUGAGAAUAAAUUGAAGAGAAUUCUAUUGAAAUGACGUACUUGGGUAUCUGGAUCCGUAUCAACAUGCAUCAUGGGCUAAAUAAUCCGUAUUAAUGCCAAUUAAAUCAUGAGGGGGGAAUCCACACCUCAUGAACCACGCUCUAAUCAAUAUGGUGCUAAGGGCUUAUCGUGCCAAAUAAUAAUAACCUUGUACUAGAGGGCCGGUGUAACCAAGGCGGUACUAGACAAGAUUAGUAUUAUUUGUCGACGAGAAGUCAAAACAUCCACAAAAACUAGAGGGGAAGAGAAAAUAAAUUUACCAAAUUAAGCCCAUGACGCAUGUUGAGACUUCACCUUCAACCCAAGCUUGAAAGAAAAUUAGCCACUCAUAAUUGAACUAGGGGCAAAAUGGAAAUUUAUUAAAAUACGAAGAAAAUACAAGAUGGAGAGGGAAUUACAGAAAAUGGAUCCCAAAAAUGGAUUCAGAGAUAUCAAAUUAGGGGGGAGAGGCCCCCUUUUUAUAGAUACAUGGAGUAAAUCAUGGCCAUCGGAUUAAAAACAGUUUGGACGCUCAGGAUUGCGCCACGUCAUCAGUCAACAGUCCACGGUUUGACCACGCGGAUGAACAGUAACACGGUUUGACCCGACUUUGAACAGUAACGCGGUUUGACCCGACUUUGAACAGUAACGCGGUUUGACCCGGAUGAACAGUAACGCGGUUUGGUUGAAAAUAAUCCUGUGUGAUGCAUGCACCGUACGCGAGAUUUUUCGUCCACUGAUAUGCUGCCACGUCACCAUCAACAGUACAUAAGAAUUUUAGUCCAACAGGAUCGUGACACCUCAUCAGUCAAUGCCACAUCAUCGGUCAAUGCCACGUCAUCAUCCGUCUAUGUGAACAGUGUCGUGAACAGUAACGUAUACAGUACCGUACACGUGAAUAGUACCGUACAUGUGAAUAGUGCCAUUUUUCCUUUUAUACUCCUCCUAAGGUUUUUGACCGUCCUGAGUUCAAAAGUGAUGUCCGUUUUGCCGUCUGAUUUCUCCUUUAUUGUGAAAUGACUAUAAUGCCCCUAAAAUACAUAAAAUACUUAAUUAAAAUAAAACACAUGUAAUUAAAUCACAAGAAGGUUAAAUACAUAAAAGUAAGGGUUGUUAAUAAGACUUGAAAUGUAAAAUGACGGUUUUCUCCUUUAUAAAUAUGCAUUUUCUAACACUCAACACUUGGUCAUGGAGUUCAUGUUGAUAUUGAGGAUGACGAUUCAAUGGAACCUCUUUCCGAGACUAGGACAGAAAAAAUGCCUCGUCGGCCAAUUGCAACUGAGCGUAGUAAAAAAAAAAAGAGUGAGUUUGACAGUUACUUUAAAAUGGCUAGUUCAGUGAUGAAUGCUAGAAUGGAGAUGGUUAAGUGCAAAAGUGCGGAGUCAACUUCUCAAUGUGUUGAAAAAUGGUCUAUUGAAGAGUGUAUUGAAGUUGUGGAGAAAUUGGGAGACAUUGAUGGAGAUACAUACAACAAAUUGAUGGAUAAGCUAGUGCCCAGUAUUGAGUGGAGGAAAGCAUUUUUGAGCAUGCCUGAGCAUAAGGAAAAAAUAUUGGUUAACUAGUUUAUAGUUUGUUGUUUAAGAUAUAAUGUGUUUAACUUGGAUGUUAUUUGGAUAUUAUUGGUUGUGAACUGUGUGCUUGUUUAUUUUAUAGUUUGGACUUUGUAAUACUUUUAUUUGUUGAACUUUAUGUUAUUUUUAUAAGUUGAAAUGUGUUUGUUGACUUUAUGUUAUUUUUAUAAGUUGAAAUGUGUUUGUUGACUUUAUGUUAUUUUUAUAAGUUGAAAUGUGUUUGUUGAACUUUAUUUUAUUUUAUUUUUGUGAGUUGAACUUUUUAUUUUUUUAGAUCAAUUAUCAUAUACUUGAAAUAUAAUCUAGGAUUUUGUUUUAAUCAGAUAAAAAAAUGAAUAACAACAACAAUGAAGAUGAUGAUAUUGACAGUUUAACAGAUAUUGAAGAAGAGGUUUUAGAGGUAGCCAUUACUAUAAAAAUUUAUGAGAAACAACAGCGUGCUAUUAUAAGGCAAUGCUAUACAGGACAAUUGUCUGGAAUUGAAUUUGUUCAAGAGUUGUUAAAUGGUCAUUCGGACAGGAUGUAUAACAUGUUUCAAAUGGAUAAAGAAGUUUUUAUUCGAUUAUGUUAUACACUUGAACAUUUACAGUUAUUAGAGAAUGAUAGACAUGUUUGUAUCAAGGAGGCUGUAGCAAUGUGCUUGUAUAUAUUGUCUCAUGGUGCUGUUGUGCGGGUUGUAUCUGAGCGUUUUCAACGUUCAUCGGAAACUGUGUUUACACACUUUAAGCAUGUGUUAAAAGCAUUUUGUCACUUGGCAAAUCACAUUAUAAAACCAAAACCUCAAGGGGAAGCGCCAUUAAAGAUUAGAAACAAUCCAAUUUUUUUUCCAUAUUUUGAGGUAAGAAAUUCAAUACACGUUACUUCAAUAUUUAUGUGACAUUAACAUUUGGUUAAUAAAUUAUUAAUUUUUUCAUAUUUUCACAAAAGUGUAUCAGUGCAAUUGAUGGAACCCACAUUGCUGCAUGGUCACCAGCACAGAAACAGAUAUCAUAUCGAGAUAGAAAGACUCAGGUGACUCAAAAUAUCAUGUGUGCAUGUUCUUUUGACAUGAUGUUUACAUUUGUAUAUACGGGCUAGGAAGGUACCGCCAAUGACUCAAGGGUGUUUAUGGAUGCCUUAAAUAGACCAGAAUCUGGGUUUCCACUUCCGGAAGAAGGUAAAAAUAUUGAUAUAUAUGUGUGUGUUAAUAUGUUUGGCUUUUAUUUUUUAAUUAAGUUAUGUUUUAUUGUUUCUAUAUUUUAGGAUAUUACUACGUUUUGGAUUUUGGAUACAUAAAUAUGAAGGGAUUUUUGACACUAUAUAGAGGUGAGAGAUAUCAUUUACGUGAUUAUAGAGGACUAAGUCGAGCACCUAGAGGUCCCCAAGAAUUGUUUAAUUAUAGAUAUUUAUCAUUGCGUAAUGUAAUUGAGUGAUGCUUUGGUGUUUUAAAGGUAAGAUUUUCAAUUUUAAGGGACAUGCAUAAUUAUAGUUUACGUAAGCAACGUCUAAUUCCAAUUGCAUGUUGCGCUUUGCAUAAUUUUAUUCGACGAGAAAAUGCAAGUGAUAGGUUAUUUGGGGACUUUGAUGUACAAGAUUUGGUUACCAACAAUGAAGGAGACACUAGUAGACCACUUACUAAUAUUGAUUUAUCUCCAGUAAGUGUCGCAGAGAUGAAUGCUACAAGAAAUGGAAUUGCAGCUUUUAUGUGGCAUGAUUACAAAUGUAAUGCAUAAUGUGUAUCAUGUAGUUUUUUUUUAUAAUUAUUUUGUUUAAAUCAUGUGUUGUAAUAUAUAUCUUAAUUAUAUAGUGUAAAAAUAAUGACAAUGUCAAACUUUUUUUAAUUAAUGUUAAUUCAUAAACUUUAUUAUCAUAUAAUUUUUUUAUAUUAAAUUUGGUUAAAUUAUUUUGGUGUAUUUGUGUGUAUUAGCUAAAUAAUUAUUUUAUCACUAUAAAUAUAAUGUAAAUAAUUAGUAAAAACUGUUUUUGAAAAAAAAAUAUUACCAAACGUAUAUUCUCUGUUUUGAUCAUUUUCAACUGUGUCUACCAAACGCAUAUUACUGUUUUCAAUUUUAAAAUAUAAAUUAUAGAAAAUGAUACCAGACGUAUAUUUAAAUUCGAAAUACUGUAACUACAAAAUAAUAUUUUUAUUUUUAUUUUUAUUCUCAUAAAAUAUAAAUUUAAAAAUAAUACCAAACAGGACCUUAUAGAUUAAGUCCCACUUAUCUCCGAAAGUAACCAACUGAUUUCACACUGGCCACCAACGAAGAAUUAAUUUGGCUGAGAUUAGAAACUAACAUGCCACGCUGACCGGUCGAUGGCUGCUUCCGUAUUUGACUCUCAUCCAACUCAUGACUUUAUUAAUUACCCAAAAAGAAAGCACGGAACAC
This 18045-nucleotide long non-coding RNA is filed under the name Citrus x clementina. RNAcentral describes it as "Citrus clementina (C. clementina) long non-coding RNA (CCLE_LNC003342)". The stretch from base 12914 to 13017 matches the Rfam family "Plant small nucleolar RNA R71". The record is from RNAcentral. Lineage: Eukaryota; Viridiplantae; Streptophyta; Magnoliopsida; Sapindales; Rutaceae.